Long non-coding RNA from Poecilia reticulata (guppy), 1023 nucleotides. RefSeq lists it as uncharacterized. The record is from RefSeq and is a predicted model, not a curated record. Lineage: Eukaryota; Metazoa; Chordata; Actinopteri; Cyprinodontiformes; Poeciliidae.
UUAAAAUAAUAAGAGGAGCAGCCUCAGAAGGUUAUAAAAGGAUGCACAAAAAGGGUUUGAGGUAGAUGCCGGAUUAUAUGUGCGCUGUUCAGACCUGAAACAGGCGGCCGCAGUCUGUAAACAUGGAUCCCGCAGCUCAGACGCUGAACGCCAACGCAGCCUUCAACAGAGAGGCCUUCCCCAGGAGAGUCAUGAGAGCGGCACCCAGGGGAGCCUCGUCUCACUUUGUGGGGACUUCGAUUGUGAUCCUGUCUUCAUUUGCCGUCUCCACCUUAGCGAUGAACUGUGGGAAGAGGAUCCAGGAGUCGAGACAAAAACCUCAUGGAAGCUAAAACACCUGGAUUGAUGAAUAUAUGCCUUCAAUAGCUACCACGAGUUAAGAGUUCUUACAAUUAAGGUUUUCUUUUAAUUUUUUUUUUUUUGCAAAGCAAUAUUUUCUGGCUCUUGUGGUCAGCUUUCUCAUGUUCUUGUACCAUAAAGUGUGGUUGUAUAUUUAGCAUGAGGCAUCUUAACGAAGAGUCUGAGGAACCAGAAGGAUGUGAGACCGCCAGUGGAUGACUUUGAGACUCCUCUGGCUUCCACCAAUGUGUGUUUUGUUGAACUGGUGCUGAUUUCAGAAAGGUGGAAAAAAAUAUGCAGUAAUAUCAAGAAGCCUCUUCCAAAAUGUUACCUCAAAUUUGUUUUCAUGCUGAUGAAAACAACAUGUAAAACUAGAAAAAAAAAAAGAUGGGUCUGCUCAGAGUGCAGAAAGGUGCAAAUGUUAGAAUGUGUGGCCUUCAGAAAGAAAGACAGCAUGUAAUACAUCUUUAGAAUCUGUUUGGAUCUGAAUAAUCUUAUACACCUUCAGAUGCACUUUAUAUGUUUUAUUAACAGAAAAUCCUCUUGAGUGGACAUUUAAUAUUUGACUUUAAUCGUUUUGUAGAAUCACAUUCAACAUGAUCUUUAUGACUUUGUAUUUCAGCUGUCUUCUCCCUAAGAAGGAAAGUGUUAGAGGUAUGAUCUAUUAAAAGACCUGCAAGCUGU